Phoenix dactylifera (date palm) is the source of this 2258-nucleotide RNA transcript. It is a transcript of the gene named shaggy-related protein kinase alpha-like, with no coding region annotated. The record is from RefSeq and is a predicted model, not a curated record. NCBI's taxonomy places the organism in Eukaryota, Viridiplantae, Streptophyta, Magnoliopsida, Arecales, Arecaceae.
GAGUAGGAGGAAGAAGCCAUCGUCUCUCUUGUCUUCUUUCUUCUCUUCUUUUCCCCUCCUUUGUUUUCGCUUCCUCCUUGGCGGUGCGGUAAUGGAGGGGGAGAGAGGGGAGACGGCUUCUCUUUUCUGAGCGCUGGCCCCCGGGGGGCAGAGGGAGAGGGGAAGAGAGAGAGAGAGAGAGAGAGAGAGAGUUAUAGUGUGGGUGUUGGACGGGGGGAAUCAUGCAUAUGAUGCGACGGCUGAAGAGCAUUGCGUCCGGGAGGUCGUCGAUUUCGGAUCCCGGUGGAGAUCCUGGCACAAAAAGAGCAAAGUUUGAUCAGGAUGGAGCAGGGGAAGUUUCUUCAGAACAACAUCUUGUGGAAGAUAAAUCUGUUGGUCUAGAUCACAAUAUGACUUCAACUCAUUUACCUUUGGAUGCAAGCACAUCGAACAUGGAUCCACCUGCUAGAACUGAAGAUGCUGCUGUAGAUCAGCUUCCAAAGGAAAUGCAUGAAAUGACAAUUAAGGAUGAUAAAGUUGAAGACCACAAUGAGAAGGAUACUGAAGGGACAAUGAUGAUUGGUAAUGGAACUGAGAGAGGUCAGAUAAUUGCAACAACAAUAGGUGGUCGAAAUGGGCAGCCUAAACAGACAAUCUCAUAUAUGGCAGAACGAGUGGUUGGCACUGGUUCGUUUGGCAUAGUCUUUCAGGCUAAGUGUGUCGAAACAGGAGAAACAGUGGCUAUCAAGAAGGUGCUGCAAGAUAAGAGAUACAAGAAUAGAGAACUCCAAAUUAUGCACUUACUUGACCAUCCGAAUGUAGUCCAGCUAAAACACUAUUUCUUUUCAACCACCGACAAUGAUGAGGUCUACCUCAACCUUGUACUUGAGUAUGUAUCUGAGACUGUUUAUCGCAUUUGCAAGUACUAUAGCCGGAUGAACCAACGUAUGCCUCUCAUAUAUGUUCAGUUGUAUACAUAUCAGAUCUGCCGUGCACUUUCUUACAUCCAUCGUGUUGUAGGGGUCUGUCAUCGUGACAUUAAACCACAAAAUCUAUUGGUGAAUCCUCAUACUCAUCAAGUAAAGCUUUGUGACUUUGGCAGUGCUAAGAAACUGGUUCCAGGAGAGCCUAAUAUAUCUUACAUCUGCUCACGGUACUAUAGGGCUCCAGAGCUCAUCUUUGGAGCUACGGAAUAUACCACUGCAAUUGAUAUGUGGUCUGUUGGUUGUGUUUUGGCCGAGCUUCUUAUAGGGCAGCCUCUAUUUCCUGGAGAAAGUGGGGUUGAUCAGCUGGUGGAAAUCAUUAAGAUCUUAGGUACCCCUACACGAGAAGAGAUCAAAUGCAUGAAUUCAAAUUACUCUGAGUUCAAAUUUCCUCAGAUUAAAGCCCAUCCCUGGCACAAGCUUUUCCACAAGCGAAUGCCUCCCGAGGCAGUUGAUCUUGUAUCAAGGCUACUUCAGUACUCACCAAAUUUGCGUUGCACUGCUGUCCUAAACCACUUCUUAAAAAAAAAAAAAAGCAAAUUGAGCUUGAAUCAAGAAUUUGUAUGAAAGCAUCAGCAACAUAUCUACUGCCUUUUUACCCCCAAGCACUUGUUUGGAUGGUUUCGCCCUUUGCCACUUGGGCAAGGGAGUGCGAGUUCAAUUCUGGUUGAAGACAGCCCUCAAGGUUGGGGUGGGUAUAGGGUAGAAAGUUGGAGGCCUGUGCCCAUCCAUUCUUUGAUGAAUUGAGGGACCCGAAUGCCCGUCUGCCAAAUGGACGCCCCCUACCCCCUAUAUUUAAUUUCAUGCCUGAAGAGCUUGAAGGUGCUUCUCCAGAACUCAUUCAGCGCUUCAUUCCUGAGCGUGUGAAGAAAUAAAUGCAGCAAGCAGUAUCUAAGCGUUCUGGUGAUUUCUGGAUAGCACAAUCCAUGAUAUAUCAAGUAUGGAGCCCACAAGUGACUGAUCUGUUUGUGAUUUGAUCAGAAGAGAGGAAGGCUUUAGGGAGGGGGGUAUUCAUGAACUGUCGGAUCUUUGCACCAAGGCAGAUCUCAAGAUGACCUGCGAGCAUCAUAGGCAUGACAUGAUUUGGGUUUUGCCCAUCCAUAUGUAUUUUCUGUGAGAUGAGUAGCUCAUGUACCAGCUUCUAUAGCCCCAGGACAUAAUGCUAAAAAAAAAAUAAAAUCCGUGUGUAUGUAGAGAUGAAGUUUUUAGAAUGUUCUGUUCUGAGAACUAGAUUAUGUGUUGUUUCUGUCAGGUAAUUAGCUUGAAAACCAAUCAUCUGUGACUGAUCGCCCUUUC